AGGAUCUCAAAGACUCCACCACCAAACAAUGAAGCAAUCACUGUAGCCUUGUGCCCCCAGCCCAGAGCCUCACAUUCAGAGAAGUAAGUAUUAAUACCUUCAAGGAAGAACCAAAACACCCUUCUUUCUGUAAGCCCCAUGAGAAGCUCAUCCAGGCUGGUCCUGGGCAAAGCUGGAAGGGAGAGAACCUAAAGAUCUGGCCCAUCUGUCCUUCACUGCCGGCUUCCCUGCAGUCCUUUUCCAGAAACCACACCCCACAUUCUCAGCCUAUCAACAGCGUCCUGGUGACCAGGUACAUUCUCAUUCUAUCAUGAGAUUGCUGAAAACUAAAGAAGGCAUCAAGACCCCCACAUGAAUUUCUACUGAUACAAUUUCAGACCUGUGCAGGAAAAUAUUUAAGACAGAAAACGCUUUCUCGAGAGGGUGCCUUCAAAGUUCCCGGAGCUCUUGUCCCUCAGCUGACUCUCACAAACCUGAAACCAAGUGACCCGGCAGCUGCGGGCUCCUCCAUUGACUCAGGCUUCAUCAGAGAGCACCAUAAGUGCCGUAUCUCCUGCUUCAGACCACCUGAGGACCAUUCUACCUGUAUUAUUCAUCUGCUAGGGCUGCCAUAACAGAAUAUCACAAUCCUAGCACAUAAAAUAUGGAAGAGGUCCUCCACAAUGGAGAAAACUAUUGGGGAUAUGCCUUCUGGAGUUUGAUCAAGGAAGAUGGACACAAACAGAAAAGAAAAACAGUCCAGAGGAAGCUGAAGGGUCUCCUACAUUGCACCAGAUGCUGCAGAUGGGGAGGACCAUUCCACUGGAUGCAUUCGGGACUGUAAACAGCAGACUGUGAGUGCGGCAGGCAGGGAUCACCCAGGCUUGACAACUCAACAGAGUUGGCUCCACAUUUGCCUUCCACUGUGAUUGUAAGCUUCCUGAGGACUCACUAGAGGCUGAGCAGAUGCUGGCACCAAACUUCCUGUACAGCCUGCAGAACUGUGAGCCAAUUAAACUUCUUUACUUCUUUAAAAACUGGC
Molecule: long non-coding RNA, 1021 nt
Filed under: Homo sapiens (human)
Lineage: Eukaryota; Metazoa; Chordata; Mammalia; Primates; Hominidae
Description: LNC_000391
Source: RNAcentral